AUGCGGGCUGCCAAGAUUCGAGAUGUCGAGGCUGUUUUAGGUUUGUCAGUUAACACUGAGUUUUUAGUUUUGCAUUUUUCUGAGAAUGAUAUUAUGCAUAGGGCUGAUAGUUUAAGUAUUUCUUUGGGGAGUAGCAAUAGUGAGGUUGCAGCUUCCAUUAACGAUUUACUUGAUCUAGAGGCUGAUCGCGCACUUAAUAUGCUUAAAACCAUAGCAGCUGUCAAACCAAUGAAAGAAAGCGAAAUUAAUGAACUAGGAGUUAAUGAAUUGGAGGUGUUAUGUGAGGAUUUAGUCCUGAGAAAUUUUUUAGAAGGGGAGAACGUGGUUGUGGAUGGGCAUGCGGCCGAUCUACAACCAUAUGAUGGUCUUGGCAACGAGCACGGUCAUGCGGAUUGUGAACUCAAAUCGGCAGCACCUAGGCGUAAACGGCAGAAGAAUUACGAUCUUUCUGCGAUACGGUGA
Molecule: ribosomal RNA, 462 nt
Filed under: Triticum aestivum (bread wheat)
Lineage: Eukaryota; Viridiplantae; Streptophyta; Magnoliopsida; Poales; Poaceae
Description: partial small subunit ribosomal RNA
Source: RNAcentral